UAGGGAAUCUUCCACAAUGGACGCAAGUCUGAUGGAGCAACGCCGCGUGAGUGAAGAAGGUUUUCGGAUCGUAAAGCUCUGUUGUUGGUGAAGAAGGAUAGAGGCAGUAACUGGUCUUUAUUUGACGGUAAUCAACCAGAAAGUCACGGCUAACUACGUGCCAGCAGCCGCGGUAAUACGUAGGUGGCAAGCGUUGUCCGGAUUUAUUGGGCGUAAAGUGAGCGCAGGCGGAAUGAUAAGUCUGAUGUGAAAGCCCACGGCUCAACCGUGGAACUGCAUCGGAAACUGUCAUUCUUGAGUGCAGAAGAGGAGAGUGGAAUUCCAUGUGUAGCGGAGGAAUGCGUAGAUAUAUGGAAGAACACCAGUGGCGAAGGCGGCUCUCUGGUCUGCAACUGACGCUGAGGCUCGAAAGCAUGGGUAGCGAACAGG
Molecule: ribosomal RNA, 429 nt
Filed under: bacterium
Lineage: Bacteria
Description: partial 16S ribosomal RNA
Rfam family: Bacterial small subunit ribosomal RNA
Source: RNAcentral